UAACCAAUCCAGCCUGGCUGGGUCUUGGGCUCCGCCAUCCGGCGGGCCUUAAAAUCAGUGGCGGUGCUGCCAGGCUCUAAGCGUAGUAAAUACCUCGCUAUAGGGUCCUGGUGGAGGCUUGCCAACAACCCCCAACUUCUUA
RNAcentral lists this unclassified non-coding RNA (142 nucleotides) under Trichopeziza mollissima. RNAcentral describes it as "partial internal transcribed spacer 2". The record is from RNAcentral. Lineage: Eukaryota; Fungi; Ascomycota; Leotiomycetes; Helotiales; Tricladiaceae.